This 667-nucleotide ribosomal RNA is filed under the name uncultured ciliate. Its description in RNAcentral is "SSU rRNA". It matches the Rfam family "Eukaryotic small subunit ribosomal RNA", at positions 326 to 1012 of the family's 1831-position model. Lineage: Eukaryota; Ciliophora. The record is from RNAcentral.
UGGUAGUGUAUUGGACAACCAUGGCAGUCACGGGUAACGGAGAAUUAGGGUUCGAUUCCGGAGAGGGAGCCUGAGAAACGGCAACCACAUCUAAGGAAGGCAGCAGGCGCGUAAAUUACCCAAUCCCGAUUCGGGGAGGUAGUGACAAGAAAUAGCAACUCGUGCGGGUUUCCGUUACGGGAUUGCAAUGAGAUAAGUCCAAAUCCGUAAACGAUUAACAAUUGGAGGGCAAGUCUGGUGCCAGCAGCCGCGGUAAUUCCAGCUCCAAUAGCGUAUACUUAAGUUGUUGCAGUUAAAAAGCUCGUAGUUGAAAUUCGAGUCAGUUACUAGUUGGCUUUUCGUCAGUUAGUUAAUUGAUUCUCCGUCUACAAUCCCUUUUGCGCUUUAGGGUUGCAGCUGGGCGAGUAGACAAUUUACCUUGAAAAAAUUAGAGUGUUCCAGGCAGGUCUUCGCCGGAAUACAUUAGCAUGGAAUAAUGGAAUAGGACUUGGGUCUUUUGUUGGUUUUAGGACUUGAGUAAUGAUUAAUAGGGACAGAUGGGGGCAUUAGUAUUUAAUUGUCAGAGGUGAAAUUCUUGGAUUUACUAAAGACUAACUUAUGCGAAAGCAUUUGCCAAGGAUGUUUUCAUUAAUCAAAAACGAAAGUUAGGGGAUCAAAGACAAUCAGA